UACGUAGGGGGCGAGCGUUGUCCGGAUUUAUUGGGCGUAAAGAGCUCGUAGGUGGUUUGGUAAGUCGGAUGUGAAAUCUCCAGGCUCAACCUGGAGGGGUCAUUCGAUACUGCCAUGACUAGAGUUCGGUAGGGGAGUGUGGAAUUCCUGGUGGAGCGGUGAAAUGCGCAGAUAUCAGGAGGAACACCGGUGGCGAAGGCGGUUCUCUGGGCAUGUCCUGACGCUGAGGAGCGAAAGUGUGGGGAGCGAACAGG
This 254-nucleotide ribosomal RNA is filed under the name uncultured bacterium. RNAcentral describes it as "partial 16S ribosomal RNA". It matches the Rfam family "Bacterial small subunit ribosomal RNA", at positions 524 to 776 of the family's 1533-position model. The record is from RNAcentral.